CCCCUGAUGGUUUAGUGUUUAAUACUUGGUGCUUUCAAUGCUGCAGCCCAGGUUCAAUCCCUGGUCUGGGAA
RNAcentral lists this transfer RNA (72 nucleotides) under Sus scrofa (pig). It matches the Rfam family "tRNA". Rfam says of the family: Transfer RNA (tRNA) molecules are approximately 80 nucleotides in length. Their secondary structure includes four short double-helical elements and three loops (D, anti-codon, and T loops). Further hydrogen bonds mediate the characteristic L-shaped molecular structure. tRNAs have two regions of fundamental functional importance: the anti-codon, which is responsible for specific mRNA codon recognition, and the 3' end, to which the tRNAs corresponding amino acid is attached (by aminoacyl-tRNA synthetases). tRNAs cope with the degeneracy of the genetic code in two manners: having more than one tRNA (with a specific anti-codon) for a particular amino acid; and 'wobble' base-pairing, i.e. permitting non-standard base-pairing at the 3rd anti-codon position. The record is from Rfam by way of RNAcentral. Lineage: Eukaryota; Metazoa; Chordata; Mammalia; Artiodactyla; Suidae.